CGGCUUUGUCGGAACACUAGCCCCGCCGCUCGCCCAGCGGCCGCCGCGGCAGUUUCGGCUCGCUCUCGCCGGCCGCUGUCUCCGCCGCGGUCGUCGGACGCCCCGACGCCUCCUCCUCCGCGCUUGAGCGAAGCCAUCUUCGGCACCAGCCUCCUCGCCAUCCACCGGACCCACCAAUUCCCAAAACCCUAGCGCCAAAAUCCCCCAUUUCGGUCGCGCCAAUCGGAACCGGAUUUCCUCGGUUCCCGGCUGGCGCCGGCGGCGAGUUGAGCCUCGCUCUCGCCUCGCCUCACCACAUGUUGCAGCGAGCGCGUGCAUGAACUCUGCGAUGGAUGAGAUCAACCUGAUGCGGCAGGCGCAGCGGCAGCACCAGCACCACCUCAUGGUGCGCGGCAUGGGCGAGGAGAUUGACCUCGAGAUCGGCCCGGGCGACGACCCCUCCUUCUCCGGCGCAGACCUCGUCGCCGUCGCUUCCGGGCACCACGACAACGUCGUCCCCACCGACGAACACAAGACCCUCCUUAUCCCAUGCUCUGGCGCCGUGGACGGGCAUGCGCAGCCUCCGGCGCCGCAGCCACCACUGCCGCACGGGGAGGAGCAUGACGGGAUACUCCGGCUGCCUUCGGCGCACACCAAGAAGAAGAAGAAGGUGGUGAAGAAAUGGCGGGAGGAGUGGGCGGAUACCUACAAGUGGGCUUAUGUCGCCGUGCACGACAACACCCCCAGGAUCUUCUGCUCGGUGUGCAAGGAGUACGGCCGGAAGCACCGGCGGAACCCGUAUGGCAAUGAGGGAAGCAGGAACAUGCAGAUGAGUGCGCUUGAGGAGCACAACAAUAGCUUGCUGCAUAAGGAGGCCCUUCGGUUGCAGAUGGCCUCCAAGGAGAAGUUGCAGCCCCCCGAGAUCGAGAGGCCGGUCUAUGUCAAAGCUUUGUCGAAAACAGCUGCAUCAAUACUUGAAUCUGUCCUAAGGAGGGAUCCCUAUGAAGCUGAAUUUAUACAGUCAAUCCAGGAGGUGGUUCAUUCCUUGGAACCAGUUUUGGUGAAGAACACUCAAUAUGUUCAAAUUUUGGAGCGUUUGUUGGAACCUGAGAGAUGCUUUAUCUUCAGAGUACCAUGGAUUGAUGACAGAGGUGAAGCACAUGUCAAUAGAGGUUUCCGUGUGCAAUUCAGUCAGGCAUUAGGUCCAUGCAGGGGUGGUCUUCGGUUUCACCCAUCCAUGAGCUUAAGUGUGGCAAAGUUUCUGGCCUUUGAACAUGCAUUGAAGUACCAUUCAAUAGCAAAACUACGCAAGUGCAUGCAGUGAUGUAAACUUGCAACCUUGACUAAGUCACAUUUGCCUCUAAAGCCAUGGGUGCGAUUUGCUUAAUACUGGAGACUUUGAAGAAUGCUUUGUCGUUAUAUAAACUUGGAGGUGCUGCUGGAGGAAGUGAUUUUGAUCCAAAGGGUAAAAGUGAUAAUGAGAUAAUGCGUUUUUGUCAAAGUUUCAUGGAUGAGCUAUAUAGAUAUUUGGGCCCUGAUCAGGAUUUUCCCGCUGAAGACAUUGGUGUUGGUCCAAGGGAAAUGGGUUACCUUUUUGGGCAGUAUAGAUGCCUUUCUGGUCAUUUUCAGGGAAAUUUUACAGGACCUAAAAUCUUCUGGUCUGGUUCAAGUUUUCGAACAGAAGCUACUGGAUAUGGGCUGGUAUUUUUUGCACGUCUUUUACUUGCUGAAAUGAACAAAGAGCUUAAAGGAUUAAGAUGCGUGAUCAGUGGUUCUGGAAAGAUAGCAAUGCAUGUUUUGGAAAAGCUUCUGUCAUGUGGAGCCAUUCCUGUUACAGUCUCAGGUAACCAGACUCAAAAUCUUUUGGAUUAAACAUAGGACAUACCUGAGGUAUCAUGAUUUGGAAGAGCAUGUUAUUAUUAUUGGUAUCAGAGAUACCUGUAUUUAAGCAGAUUUAUCAUAAUUACUCAUAUGUGUUUGCCACUUUGCCUAUCCACAACUCCACAAUUUCACAUCAGUAACAUGUACAAUUUAGUAGUGCUCAUUUAUGCUUUCAAAAUAAAAACUUACAGGUAAUACACACGUAUGUUAUUUAUAGGUUUGCCUUUGUUAGCAUUCUUUGAACAACUGUACAAAUGACUUUCGAAGUUCGGUUUGUUUUAAGGAAUUAUACCAAACGAGUAGGUAGAUUAUGGAUGCACCUACUACAGAAAAAUAGUCAUAUUACAAUAACUAGCAUUUCUAAUGAAGGCCCAACUGUCGGUUAUCAUAUAUUGUUGCAGAUUCAAAGGGCUAUUUGGUAGAUGAAGAUGGGUUCGAUUAUAUGAAAUAUUCACUUCUUAGGGAUAUUAAGGCUCAGCAAAAGAGCCUCAAGUGGGUACAUGCCUUUCCCUUGUGUAUAGUUCAUAUAUGUUGGAGUUUUGAGAUAUUUCUCCAUUUAAUCAAACAGGGAGUACUUGAAAUCAUAUCCACAUGCCAAGUAUAUAGAUGAUGCAAAACCAUGGAGUGAGCAGUGUGAUGUUGCAUUUCCUUGUGCCUCACAUAAUGAAAUUGACCAAGGGGAGGCUGUCGCAAUAAUUAAAUCAGGUUGCCGUGUUCUUAUAGAGUGUUCAAAUAUGCCAUGCACCGUUCAAGCAGUUGAUAUCCUAAGAAAGGCAAAAGUCCUUGUUGCUCCAGCAAAGGCAACUGCUGCUGGUGGGGUAGCCUUUGGAGAACUUGAAUUGAACCCCGAGUUUAAUUUGAUGCAGUUGUCGGUGGAGGAUUUUGAGAAUAAAAUCCAGGAUGCAAUAAAGCAAACAUACGAAAGGUCAAUCAAAGCUGCUCAAGAUUAUGGAAUCAUGAAAGAGAACCCUGAGUCAUUGGUGCAUGGUGCCAACAUUUGUGCUUUCCAUAAUAUUGCCCAAGCCAUGACCGAUCAAGGAUGUGUCUAGUUAGACCUUUGAUUUAGUCAAGGAGCUACAACUAGAGUGUCCUGCAACUGUGCAGGGGGAAAAUAUAAUUUUCUGCUAAGUGCUUCGACACCUUCAGCUUGUGCUACUAUAAAUCGUGGAGCACUCCAAAAUGCAAAGUACUUGGAAUUCACCCUUGGCUUAUGCUAGAAAAUGGGUGACUCACAAGAGCUUCCCUUGAUCUGGAAGGAAAGCCAGCUCAGGUUGUAGAUCCCCGAUGUAUUAUCCAUUGUUAUAAACAUCAAUUUCAAUGGGAAGUAAAUAGAAGCAAUUCUUUUGUAUGCAUAGCCCAUACUUGUUAGUCCACUGAUAGGUUGACAAUUGUGUAACAGAUGUAAAUCUACAGGUAGAUCUAGCAAUGACUCCGAUGAACCUGCUAUAUGUAAUUGUUGAAUCCCCAUAAGGCAAGACAAAUCGAACUUUGAUAAACUAUUGAGCUCAAA
RNA transcript from Panicum virgatum (switchgrass), 3370 nucleotides. It is a transcript of the gene named NADP-specific glutamate dehydrogenase-like, with no coding region annotated. The transcript is spliced from 14 exons. The record is from RefSeq and is a predicted model, not a curated record. NCBI's taxonomy places the organism in Eukaryota, Viridiplantae, Streptophyta, Magnoliopsida, Poales, Poaceae.